This is a long non-coding RNA of Chenopodium quinoa (quinoa), 2720 nucleotides long. RefSeq lists it as uncharacterized. NCBI's taxonomy places the organism in Eukaryota, Viridiplantae, Streptophyta, Magnoliopsida, Caryophyllales, Amaranthaceae. The record is from RefSeq and is a predicted model, not a curated record. The transcript has 3 exons.
CUAAUGGUUGAAUCAUAUGAAUAUCUUUUAUUCCUUAUCAAUAACCUACGGAUAAACUUCUUAUGCUAUAACGGGUCAAACCAUAGUCAAAGCAUGCUUAGGAUGAGACCCGCGCCCAUUUAUACUGAUCGAUCCAUUUUUGUUACACGAGUAAUUUCUUACCCUUACCCUGUGUCCUGUGAUGAGUUCGGUUCCGGAUUUGAAGGUGAGGAAGAGAAAAACCAACGAAAACUACAAAAAUGACCGUUCUUUUCAGUUUUCUCUCUUCCUUUCCCCAACUUCCUUUCCUCUGAAUCCGCCAUUGCCGUCAAUUUCUGAGCUCAUUAACCCAAAUAAUCCACCAUCAAUUCGCUUCAAACCCCAGAAAAAUCCCAUUGAACAAUUCUCUGUUUUCCUCAAUUCGAACUUCGCUGAUUGUGGUCCGAUUAAUAAAAAACAGUUUUGAUUGUGGUCCGAUUAAUAAAAAACAGUUUUGAUUGUGGUCCGAUUAAUAAAAGGGGUUCAAGAUGAGGAUUAUGAUCAAAGGAGGUGUUUGGAAGAACACUGAAGAUGAAAUCCUCAAAGCUGCUGUUAUGAAAUAUGGGAAGAAUCAAUGGGCUCGAAUUUCUUCUCUUCUUGUUCGUAAAUCUGCUAAACAGUGUAAAGCUCGUUGGUAUGAGUGGCUUGACCCUUCCAUUAAGAAGGCUGGUUCAUUCAUUGAGGAAGAGGUGCAGUAUCUAUGAGUAGCAAUGGGACAUCAGGAAGAGACCUUAGAUGAUUUUGUUGAGGCACACAAGACUUGCUUAAAUGAUUUGAUGUAUUUUCCCACUCGUAAUGCUUAUGGUCUCUCCAGUGUUGCUGGAACUGUAGAGAAACUUGCUGCCUUACAAAAUGAAUUUGAAAAUGUUAAGAGGAAGAUGGAUGAUGAUAAUAAGAAGGCACAACGGCUUGAGAAAAGAUUGAUGUUCUUACUCAUGGUUAUAAGAUGCGGGCUGAUAAAUUGAAGACACAAAUCGAGCUCACAUUCAGACAGAUGAAUACUGCUGGGACUGAAUUGGAUUGCUUCCUAGCUUUGCAGAGACAGGAAAAUAUGGCAGCUUCAUUUAGGAUCAAGGGCCUUUGAGAAGAAGUCCAGAAGCAGAAAGAGGUAGAGAAAACACUACAGAAACGUUAUGGAGAUCGUGUUGCUGAACUGGAGAGGAUCCGGCAGCUCAUGGAUCAGUACAGAAUUGUGGAAGAAAUAGAAGCUAAGAAACACUCAGAAGAGUUGGUUGAGAAAGCAGCUAAUCAGGCUUCACUAAUGAGCUAUGAAACUUUGGAGCCUGUAAGAGCCAUGGAAAUGGAUUCCUCUGAUGAUGUAAAAUCACAGGAGGAUGGUGAAGUGGCAUCAAAUGCGCAUGCACAAAGCAUUUCUCUUUCUUCUGAGGCUAAAGGAUCUGAAACUACGGAGGAGCAUGAUACAGAUCAUCCUGUAGGGGAAGCUCUUGAAAAUAAUGGUUUUGUCAAUGUAGAGCCUGUUUCUACCUCUAAACUGGAGACACAAGGAAUAGAUGGGGAGCUCAGUAAUCAGAUCAAUGAGGCAGAUGGGAAUAACUUAUGAUGGAUGGAGAUGUGGGCGAGCCUGUAGAAAGGGUGGAAGAUGAUGCCUGUAAUAACCAAGUGUGACACCGACUUGCAACUUUAGUAUUAGGUUGUUGGCUUGUUGCUAUCUGUUGGACCCCACUGCACCUUAAAGAGGCAUUAAAGCAGAUGUAGAAGAGAUGAUCUGUUGAGACUAUCGAAGUUUGUUGGGUCUUCAUUUUUGCUUGUGCAUUGUUUCUUUAGAGAAUAUGGAUUUUAAACAGUUGAACUUGCUUCCCUCCCAUGCCAUGGUAUUUGGCAUGUUCCCUGGUCUUCUGCCAUUAGAAAACCUCUGAAAUACGUUGAAUAUGUGGGCGUAUCACAUCUUCACCCCCAAGGAGAUUGAUUCGUGGUAUUAAUGACCCACUUCUAAAUGGUAGCAUCAGUGAUAGUUGAGCCUCAAAAGGAAAAAAGCAGAAGCACCAUUAAAAAUCAGGUUAUGCAGGUGAAAGUGGUGGUGAGAGCAGCAGUGAUCAAAGCUACAGGGGAUACAUGAUCCAUGGUCAUUGGUCGUCAAAGCGUAGUUAAGUAAAAACUUUCGAACUUUAAAGAAUGCACAAGAGUAUGUUGAUUAUCAUGUGUAAAGCGUCACAAAUUUGCACUGUGCUUGCUGUCCGUGAUUUGUGCUCCAUUUUCCAUCUUGUUAACUUAGUCAGGGACGGGAACGCAACGUUGGAGAUAAGUCUACAAUUCUACAUGAUGGUUAAUUCACCAGUACAUUCUUGUGUCGGAGCCCUGGCCAUGGCCAAUGUAUUGCAGUGAUAUUACAAUACUGCAUUAGAUACUGGCUUCUCUUUUUGUUCCCUUCCUCCUGCUGUGUUAUGGAGGUGUGUGAACAGUAUGGUGUAUAGAGCUUCCAUAAAACUUUUGGGUACAGAAUUUGGCACAUUUGUAUCAGUGCCUCAAAUACCUGACAUUUGACUCUGUAUAUGUUUUAUAUAUUGCCCAAUUGAACUUUUCAUAAGGCAACUUAAAGCCAACCUGCAUGAGCUUUUGCCUGUAUAAAUUAGCCUUGCUGGGUAACAAACUAUUCGGCUUCUAGAAAAACUUGCCCAUGCUGCAUUGCUGGGUACUCACGACUGAUUACCAAAUUUUUCUAAGUAAUAUAAUGGGUUUGGGUU